UGACCGUGGAGGAUAAGAGCAUUCUUCUGACAAGUUUUAGCAUGGACUAUCCUCAGGAAAAUGAGAUCCAGGAAGAGUGACGCCCUCCUCGAACUGAAAGAUACUCAGGCUGAUGGAGUCAGGGAGGAAGUGGUUUAUCAACAGCACAGGAUGUGUGCAGGGAACAGAACUUUUUCAGACAUGCCCCAGAUUGUCUGCCCAUGGGGACUGAGGUACCUCUGAGAUUUACAGCAGAGAGGAAGGAGAGGCUGUUUCUACAGGUGCCACAGAAAAAUCGAUGCUGAGCCACGGAUUAUUGGAUCUCAUAGAACCGUGGAGACUUGGCAGUGAAAUUCUUCCAAAGCAUUCCAUCUGCACAGGCAGAGGUGUUCCUGGUUUGGGAAGUAUAAAUCCCGUGGGAAGUCAACUGGAGGACAUUUUACGCAUCACUCAUCCUAUUAUGAGCCUGCUGCUCCUUCCUCUCUUGACAAGUUGGCAGCUAAAGGACAGGAGCAGCAAUAAGGCUUCCUGGCUACAUUUUCAUGGUGCCACCAACUGCGAGUUAAGCUGACAAACAUUUUGAGAGCUCGGCCCAUUUCAUUCCCAGCAGGAUGGCAGGAGUUAACUAAAACAGAAUAAACUAAAAAUUGUGCCUUCAUUGCACAUUUGCACUGAUUAUCAGCACUGAAAAUGGCUAAGUUCUGCUCAUCAAGGAAAUAAUAUGCUCCAGAGAAUCCUCUAAUUCACCGAAAAUGGACUUGGAUAACAUUUGGGUUUUCAUACUACCACAGUCCUCUUGA
Molecule: long non-coding RNA, 779 nt
Filed under: Mus caroli (Ryukyu mouse)
Lineage: Eukaryota; Metazoa; Chordata; Mammalia; Rodentia; Muridae
Source: RNAcentral